GAGGACGUGAAAUACCCUUGAAGGAGGAACAACACACGUAUGAAAUUGCUCCAACAGCUCCAACUGAUACAGGAGAUGUGAGCAGACCUCCAAUCAAAGAUCUGGAGAACCUUGUGAACCUCAGGAUCUGCAUCCUAAGGGACUGGAACAUCAAGGUGCUUUCAAGAAAGGUGUUUAAAAAGUACCCGUUCCAUGAGCUGGAGUGUCCCGGGGGCCUGCAGGAAGUUGAGUUCUUGAACUUGCUGAGGUCCACUCUUCCUCCGCUGGCUUUU
This is a long non-coding RNA of Nematolebias whitei (Rio pearlfish), 272 nucleotides long. RefSeq lists it as uncharacterized. The transcript is spliced from 3 exons. The record is from RefSeq and is a predicted model, not a curated record. NCBI's taxonomy places the organism in Eukaryota, Metazoa, Chordata, Actinopteri, Cyprinodontiformes, Rivulidae.